This 193-nucleotide ribosomal RNA is filed under the name uncultured bacterium. RNAcentral describes it as "partial 16S ribosomal RNA". It matches the Rfam family "Bacterial small subunit ribosomal RNA", at positions 1308 to 1500 of the family's 1533-position model. The record is from RNAcentral.
CAACUCGCCUGCAUGAAGUCGGAAUUGCUAGUAAUCGCAGAUCAGCAUGCUGCGGUGAAUACGUUCCCGGGCCUUGUACACACCGCCCGUCACACCAUGGGAGUCGGUAACACCCGAAGUCGGUAGCCUAACCGUAAGGAGGGCGCCGCCGAAGGUGGGAUUGAUGACUGGGGUGAAGUCGUAACAAGGUAUC